UGCUUUGCACAGUGGCAGUAUCGUAGCCAAUGAGGUUAAUCUGAGGCGUGAUUAUUGCUAAUUGAAAACUUUUCCCAAUACCCCGCCAUGACAACUUGAAAUAUAGUUGGCAAUUUUUUACACUCUCUACGGAGG
Molecule: small nuclear RNA, 135 nt
Organism: Pelodiscus sinensis (Chinese soft-shelled turtle)
Lineage: Eukaryota; Metazoa; Chordata; Testudines; Trionychidae
Gene: U4
Rfam family: U4 spliceosomal RNA
About the family: U4 small nuclear RNA (U4 snRNA) is a component of the major U2-dependent spliceosome. The structure of U4 snRNA from yeast and human has been reported.
Source: Ensembl